GACGAACGCUGGCGGCGUGCUUAACACAUGCAAGUCGAACGAUGAACUCCAGCUUGCUGGGGGGAUUAGUGGCGAACGGGUGAGUAACACGUGAGUAACCUGCCCUGGACUCUGGGAUAACCCCGAGAAAUCGGAGCUAAUACCGGAUAGGACCUUCUCCCGCAUGGGGGUUGGUGGAAAGUUUUUCGGUUUGGGAUGGACUCGCGGCCUAUCAGCUUGUUGGUGAGGUAAUGGCUCACCAAGGCGUCGACGGGUAGCCGGCCUGAGAGGGUGACCGGCCACACUGGGACUGAGACACGGCCCAGACUCCUACGGGAGGCAGCAGUGGGGAAUAUUGCACAAUGGGCGCAAGCCUGAUGCAGCAACGCCGCGUGCGGGAUGACGGCCUUCGGGUUGUAAACCGCUUUUAGUAAGGAAGAAGGGGAGCUUGCUCCUUGACGGUACUUGCAGAAAAAGGACCGGCUAACUACGUGCCAGCCGCCGCUGUAA
This 489-nucleotide ribosomal RNA is filed under the name uncultured bacterium. RNAcentral describes it as "partial 16S ribosomal RNA". It matches the Rfam family "Bacterial small subunit ribosomal RNA", at positions 28 to 523 of the family's 1533-position model. The record is from RNAcentral.